Macaca mulatta (Rhesus monkey) is the source of this 2632-nucleotide long non-coding RNA. The record is from Ensembl. Lineage: Eukaryota; Metazoa; Chordata; Mammalia; Primates; Cercopithecidae.
CCUCAGAAGGAGACGCACAGCACGCCGGGCAUGGGCAAGCCUGUGUUGUUAGGAACAAACCAUCUGGAGAAAGAGUUGGAAUGGAGCCCAUCAGUGCUAAGCCUCCAAUGGUGCUUCACUUCUUCCGGAAGAUGCACAGCUCAGCAGGCCACACAGGGCUCAGCAGGUCACAGCCACAGAUUCUCACAGGCAAAGACGAGAGGAUGGAUAAACAAGGGUUUGCCAAGGAGAAGAUGCCAGUGUCACACUUUCUCCCUCAGUGUGUUCAGAUGGGAUUGGAAAGUCUCCCUGGCCACACAGGUGCACGGUGGGUCCAACUCUGACCCCUGACGCUGCCUUUUCUAGGGUGUCUCCUCUGCUCCAAGGGUUGGACAAAUGGGAACUUGUUUCUGGAGAUCCCUUGCCAGUUGGGUUUGUUUAUAACCCACCAGUGAGAAGCUUUGAAGCUAUUUCAAAGACGAAAGAGAACCAGAAGUCACUCUCUGACUACCCCAAAAGCACAGGAGGAAUGGCCAAGAUUCAGCAGACAGGAGAAUGUGGAGCAAGUUGGGGCUUCCCCACAGGGCUUGGAUGAUCUCUGCUGCUCUCCUGUGACUUCCGUAAUUUCCUGGUGCUCUGCAAGUGAUCAGCCAGCAUAAGGUGAUGCCCUGGAAUUCCCCAACUCUUUUAUUGCUUUUGUGGGCACCACAUUUCCUGUGUCAGAGUCUCUCCUGCUCAAGAUACCAAAAGUGACACCACCCUAAGAUAUGGAAACACAGACCCUGAACUACCUUGAAUACCCUCAAAAUGACCAAGUGUUGAGUGUUUCAUUUACUCAGUGAAAUUCCUUCCCUUAAGUCUACUACAUCAUUAAUUUUUAGUAAAUUUCUCAUUGUUAGAUAAUGAUAAUUAAAUCCACCAUAUAAGCAAUAGAGAAAAUUAAUUUCAUUAUAAUUUAGAAUCAUAUUAACAGAAAAUAAAAAAUGCAUGGACCUUCCAUGGAUCCAAUCCUAGUCAUCAUUUUAGCAACUGUCCAUAAAGAGGUACUUGUGAUAUCAUUCUACCCAUAUGUGCCUUACUUAGUUUUUUGGGGAGGAGAUCAUGGAUAAAAUGUGCUAUUUUAGAAAUUAGAAGGUCCAACAAGAAUAUAAUUAUCCAUUUAAAUGGCUCAUUUAAUAACUUAACUCCAGUAGAGGUCCUUCAAGACAUUUCUCUUCACUUCCUUAUUUUGCUCCAAAAAAAGUCUGGCUUAGGACAGGUUCCUGAGAAGCAGAGUUUGACAUGAAGGUGCUUGUGUAAAGGCUACAUUGAGGAGUGCAGCCUGCAGAGACCAAUGAGAAACCAAAAAAGCAGGACAAGGAAGGGGAAGAAAAUACCCAGUGUGUCGUAGACUGCAGCCUGGCUCAGCUGGCUCCUACGGGGAGCCCUGUGGUGUGCACAGUGUCCCAGAGCCUUUCCACCUUGAGACCAGGGGACUUUCAGACCUUCUUGUCAGUUUGCUAUAGGCUGUAGGGUGCCCCUAAUUGGAAAUGGACACAAUCUCCCAAGCAUUUCUCAGGAGUCAGCCCAAGCCAGAAUGAGGGCAAAUGUCUGGGAAAUUUUUUUUUAAAGCAGCUGUGAGUGGGUGGUACUCAAAACUCACAACAGCUGAGGGCUGGAGUUACAGUCCCUUGAAAGGAAUCAAGGCAAGUCACUAUAACGUUAAGCCACUAUCAGAGUCAUUGACUGCUGUUUUUGAAGAUUGUGUGUGUUUCUAUGGCCUAAGUGUCAAAAGGAGAUAAAAGAGAUGAACUCAUAGCUGUUUCUGAUUCUUCUUCCUCCAUCCAUCCUAUUUAUUACUGAGUAUUUGAUGCCUCCACUUUACUUAGUUUUUCUCCUCCCAUGUCUUUAUGUAAGUGUAAGGAAAUGCAAAUACACAGCCGCAUGCAUCCUUCCCUUUCCUUCUGUGCAGGAUCCACGACAGCAUAGCGUGUCGGAGUUCACUGCUUACUGUUCUAAUGCAGUGCCAGCCUAUCUGCGUUGCCAUAAAGGAAUAUCUAAGACUGAGUGAUCGAUGAAGAACACAGGUUUGUUUUGGCUCAUGGUUCUGCAGGCUGUAUAGAAAGAACAGUGCUGGUAUCUGCUACUGGUGAAGCCUUAGGAGGAUUCCAGUCAUGGCAGGAGGCAAAGGGAGAGCCAGCAAGUCCCAUGGUGAGAAAAAGCAAGAUAGGGAGUGAGGGAGAGCCAGGCUCCUUUAAACAACCAGGGCUUGCAUAGACUUGUAGAGUGAGAACUCACUCAUUUCCACGGAGUGGAUGCCAAGCCAUUCAUGGGGAAUCCACCCAUACGACUAAAUGCCUCCCGUCAGGCCCCACCUCCAACACUGGAGAUCACUUUUCAACAUGAGAUUUGGAGGGGAAAGAUAUCCAAACAAUGUCAUAUGCUUUGCUUUUCUCACUUGCAACUAUAUUCUAGAAGUCUUUCCAUGUCAGUACACAGAGACUAUCCCCAUUAUUUCAGUUGUGCUGAGGAAGCAUCAUUGACUGAGAUAGCCAUUUCUCACUAGACUCUCACUGUGGAGACAUUAACUCAUCCAUGUUCGUAAAACUCCAUUCACAUGGACACACCGUGUGUUGGUGCUGCUUCAUCAGACAUCGUGUUAGCAAAGCAGCCA